CUCCUCUGUUAGAACUACAGCCAAACAAUGCGCAGGCAAUCCACAGCAGCUGCCCCUGCAAAUGUCAGCGCCAGCCCAGUCAAAAGAGCUUGAAACCUACCAAGCCGGAGGACUGUGCUGUGCCUCUCUCGCCCACAUUUUCCCCAAGCACUCUCAGGAACCUGGCAACAGUGUCCCCUUGUGGCCAAGCCUGGAACAUCACAUCUGUACGUUGCAAUCUGUGGAUCAGCUACGAGAUGGAUAUCUGAGAGCCAGCGAACUUUCUUUACCUCCUAGUAUCAUUUCAUGAAAAUUAGUAGCACCUGCACAAUGGGGCCUUGGAGACAGGAAUAAAAGGAAAAAUCUGGAAUGGAAUCACAUGACGCAACAGGCUAUGAAGACUCCCUGCCCGGCUGCUAUAUGUCUGGUAAACAGAAUAAAUAGUACUUGAGCAUCCCUGACUCUGAG
Molecule: long non-coding RNA, 447 nt
Filed under: Homo sapiens (human)
Lineage: Eukaryota; Metazoa; Chordata; Mammalia; Primates; Hominidae
Description: non-protein coding DLGAP1-AS1:3
Source: RNAcentral